AGCGGCGGACGGGUGAGUAAUACCUGGGAAUCUGCCUGAUAGUGGGGGAUAACGUCCGGAAACGGGCGCUAAUACCGCGUACGUCCUACGGGAGAAAGCAGGGGAUCUUCGGACCUUGCGCUAUCAGAUGAGCCCAGGUCGGAUUAGCUAGUUGGUGGGGUAAUGGCUCACCAAGGCGACGAUCCGUAACUGGUCUGAGAGGAUGAUCAGUCACACUGGAACUGAGACACGGUCCAGACUCCUACGGGAGGCAGCAGUGGGGAAUAUUGGACAAUGGGCGCAAGCCUGAUCCAGCCAUGCCGCGUGUGUGAAGAAGGUCUUCGGAUUGUAAAGCACUUUAAGCCGGGAGGAAGGGCUGACGCCUAAUACGUGUCAGUUUUGACGUUACCGGCAGAAUAAGCACCGGCUAACUCUGUGCCAGCAGCCGCGGUAAUACAGAGGGUGCAAGCGUUAAUCGGAAUUACUGGGCGUAAAGCGCGCGUAGGUGGUUCAGUAAGAUGGGUGUGAAAUCCCCGGGCUCAACCUGGGAACUGCUUUCAUAACUGCUGAACUAGAGUACGGUAGAGGGUAGUGGAAUUUCCUGUGUAGCGGUGAAAUGCGUAGAUAUAGGAAGGAACACCAGUGGCGAAGGCGACUACCUGGACUGAUACUGACACUGAGG
Molecule: ribosomal RNA, 661 nt
Filed under: Halopseudomonas bauzanensis
Lineage: Bacteria; Pseudomonadati; Pseudomonadota; Gammaproteobacteria; Pseudomonadales; Pseudomonadaceae
Description: bacterial SSU rRNA
Rfam family: Bacterial small subunit ribosomal RNA
Source: RNAcentral